Long non-coding RNA from Quercus robur (English oak), 1749 nucleotides. RefSeq lists it as uncharacterized. Lineage: Eukaryota; Viridiplantae; Streptophyta; Magnoliopsida; Fagales; Fagaceae. The record is from RefSeq and is a predicted model, not a curated record. The transcript has 6 exons.
AAAAAAAAAAAAAAAAAUCUACCCCAAACAAAACAAAACCCAAUUCUCUUCUAAAAACUAAAACUAAAACCCGUCCUGCUCUCUCUUCUCAGAAACCCAAAAAUCAAAACUCUCUCCUUCCCCCAAAAUCAAACUCCAAAACUCAGAUGAGAAAGAAGUAAGCGAUCAAAGGUAGAGCUGAUCAGAUACAAGGAGUCUCGCACCCACCUUCAAACGCCUCCCCUUCUAUUGCUGCGAGCCCAUUAAAGGAAGAAGCAGUAGCAACAGCAGCCACAGUAGUUCGCCAUUGCUGCCUCGUAAACCAUAGGUUGGUGAGAUUAUUAGCAGUUUUGAGAAGAAGGGUUUCUCUUUGAAAGAAGUGUGGCAAUAAUAAUAUCAAAUAAGGAUACAAGAUAUGAAUUAGAUUCAAUCGUAUCCUUUGUUCAUAUUUGAGUUCUGGUGGAAGAACUUCCUGCUGUUUGUGAUAGCUUGAGUUUCUUUGUGAGUAAAGGAAAAGGCUAAGCUCCAAGUAGGAAUUAGAUUACAUUUAAGGUUGGGGAAGAACGCUUUUCCAUUGAGUUAGACGAGAACAACCAAGUGUGGUAUGAACUACUUUCCUUUUCAAAACCGGCCCACUUUUUGCCAUUUAUUGGGUAUCAUUGCAUUAUUUAUUUCUGUUAUGACUCUGUGUAAAACAUAAAGCAAACAACAUGACUCCUUUAUUUAGGCAUUGUUGCUGGAUUAUGUUCAUAUAGGUCAUUUUAAACCACAUGUUUGGUAUGAAACUAGCAUCACACUCUUGCAUCCACACUGGUUAUUCGGCACAUAUUCAUGAACAUACAAACAACAUCAUUACAAUUUUAAUUGUCAAGCAAUCUUUUUUAACUCACUUCUGACCAAUGACCGAAGUAAUUAAGCAUCAUGGUAUUACGGAUUUAAUAAUUUUACAAUUACAUUCAUAUGUGAUUUGUUAAUAUCUUUUUAAAACAAUUAUGCUUAAAUUCUUUUAGAGCUUAUCACACUGAGUUAGUCUUCAAUAAGUGUUGUAUGUUCUAAGAAAAUUUAAGCGUACUUGGGUAUGUUUGUUCUUAACAAAUCACAUAUGAAUCUAAUUCUAAUAAUUAUUACCUUCAUAAUAACACAUUUUGUUGUAAGUAAACUUCCGUAAAUAUUGUAUCGCAAUGGAUAAAAGUUGGAUGGACAAGAGGAGGGAUUCAAGGGAAGAUUCUAAUUCUCAGGGAUUUUCAUGUUCAAUUGAAGGGGAGGAUUGCUUUUUUACAAGAAGGCAAAAUGGAUUCGAACAAUUUAAAAGACAAAUUGGAGAUUGUAGAGGAAAAUUGUACAUUUUUCGAUUCUGAACUAUCACUGCUUAUGCUUUCCUUUAUGGAACCAAAAGUAUUCGUUCUAAAUGCUCCAACCAUCUUCAUACAGCAGGAGCCAGGGGUGGGUUUUGUAAUAGAACCACCUAUUGAUGAGAUUGGACUUAGAAAUCAGCCAUUUCAUAGAGCCUUGAUAAAGUUGGAAAAUAGCCUUAAACAAUAGAGUGAAGAAAUAACCAAGCUAAUCUCUCUUUUAGAUGAAAAUGAGAUGGAGGAGGCUUAUGAGGUGGCAAUGAAGUUGGUAGAUGUGGUGCUGGAUUGCAAAGAAACCAAAAUUCUCAACCUUAAGCAUUUCAUUCGGCGGGAGCAACUGAAUCCUUGAAAUUCAAGCAGCCACAACUUUUGUCCUGUGCAUGGUUGUUUUUUUGGUAAUACAAUUCUACCUUAGAUU